GAAAUAAGGACAGUACUACUUCUUGCACACCAACGGAAUAUACAGACAAUAAAGAUUCAAAGACAGCUGCCUUCCCAAACUUGGCUUUGACUCCUUUACCUAUUGUGGUGCUCACGGUCAGCUAAAGUCACCAGCUGGAGAAGGUAAUCCACAUUGCAGAAGCCAAGAACCAGUAAAUCAAUCUUUGGAAGGUAGAAAUAUUUUCCAAACCAUAAAGAAACAUGAAUUUCACUGUUGUACAAGAGGAGUUUUUAGAGGAGUGGCAUAAAUUCAACGAGUGGACUAGGGAGUGGUAUCCUCUGAGGAAGCGCCUUUCAGAACAAGUAUCCCUGUGACUAACACCUCUGACUAGUUUUACAGAAAGAGACAGAUGUGACCAGAUGCCUUUUAUGAGUAAAACCCACUGAGGAGUGGGAAGCCUCAUCUGCUUUAAUUGUGCCCACUUGGCUCCUUCUUGUCAAUGAAUCACUUUCCCUUAUCAAACUUGUUUCGGCUUUCAGGGGACUUGACCUUUCUGAAUUAUACACAGAGCUCUUGUGUAACAGCCCUUAUAUCAGUGUGUUUACCAUCUGUUCUCCCUUUUCAAAUGCAGACAUGUGUUACUGUUUAUCCACUAUGUGUCACCAGUUUACUACAACAAAUUCAGUCAAGUGGAAAUCAGGUCAAGGUGAAAUUUAUUUCAGGCGCUUUUGUUCCACUUCAUUUUACAGCUUGCCACAUGCUAAUCAUAUGAAUUCUGAACAAGGAUCAAAAAAAUAAAUAAAAUUAUGUUCUGGCUUCUGACUGACAUUUUCAAUGGAUUGUUUCAUUCACCUUUUGGAAAACCUCAUACUGUACUUGGCUUCACUGAAAAAUGUAGCUGCUGGAAAGUUUUAGCAGAUUGUUGGACAACAUGGAGGGCCAAAGCUGCACCCUUAAUGCAAAACCACAAAAAACAAAGGAGGGUUGUUUUCAUUUCCUCCUGCCUUCCGCUGGAAGACAUCAGACCUUCCCAAGAGGCCAACUUCAGAAACUGAAAGCCAGAUGACCUACAACAGAGAGACCUAUGGUGCUGUUCUUCUUUUUAUAUUUAUUCAACUUCUCCUGCAUGCAAAAACUACAUAGAAGAAUGAAGGAGAAAUGUUUUUUAAUUAUUCCAUUUAAUCACAGGCAGAAGCUAUGCUAUGAGAUUGACUUUAUUUUAUUGUACAUGAUGACUUCUGCAAAUGAUCCAAUAUUAAUGCAAGUAGACAGGAAACAAAGGCAACCAGCAGGUCAAAAGUACAGUAGACUUGCUAUGCCUGUCUGCAUAGCUUGUCCUCAGCACAGAAGACAGGGAACUGUGCAACACUGGCAAAAAAGCGAUAGGAAGAAGCCAGCCCUCAAGUAUGACCAUGAAGCAGCCCAUCAAAAUGUUAUAACUAAACUUUCAAGAGUUUGAAAUAAAUGUUUAUAAUAGUU
Long non-coding RNA from Neopsephotus bourkii (Bourke's parrot), 1440 nucleotides. RefSeq lists it as uncharacterized. The record is from RefSeq and is a predicted model, not a curated record. The transcript has 2 exons. Lineage: Eukaryota; Metazoa; Chordata; Aves; Psittaciformes; Psittacidae.